GCCCACUUCUGAUAAAACAUUACGAAGUUAAGCCCAUACGGACAGGCGGGGCGGUUGCCGA
RNAcentral lists this small RNA (61 nucleotides) under uncultured Agathobacter sp. RNAcentral describes it as "Streptococcus sRNA SpF59 (ldcC RNA)". It matches the Rfam family "Streptococcus sRNA SpF59 (ldcC RNA)". Lineage: Bacteria; Bacillati; Bacillota; Clostridia; Lachnospirales; Lachnospiraceae. The record is from RNAcentral.